GUGGUCACUUCUGCAGUACGUACACUAAAAUUGGAGCAAUACAGAGAAGAUUAGCAUGCCUCCUGUGCAAGGAUGACAUGCAAAUUCAUGAAGUGUUCCACAUUUUU
Molecule: small nuclear RNA, 107 nt
Organism: Rhinopithecus bieti (black snub-nosed monkey)
Lineage: Eukaryota; Metazoa; Chordata; Mammalia; Primates; Cercopithecidae
Source: Ensembl